AACGUAGGUGGCGAGCGUUAUCCGGAUUUACUGGGCGUAAAGGGUGUGCAGGCGGGCUGUUAAGUGGUGUAUGAAAUAUCCCGGCUCAACCGGGAAGGGUUAUGCCAGACUGGCAGUCUAGAGAGCGAGAGAGGGACGUGGAAUUCCCGGUGUAGUGGUGAAAUGCGUAGAUAUCGGGAGGAACACCAGUGGCGAAGGCGACUACCUGGCCUGUUCUUGACGCUGAGGCGCGAAAGCUAGGGGAGCAAACGGG
Molecule: ribosomal RNA, 253 nt
Filed under: uncultured bacterium
Lineage: Bacteria
Description: partial 16S ribosomal RNA
Rfam family: Bacterial small subunit ribosomal RNA
Source: RNAcentral